GUGCUCACUUCGGCAGCACAUAUUAAAAAAAAAAAAAGGAAUGCUACAGAGAAGAUUAGCAUGGCCCCUGUGCAAGGAUAACUCGAAAAUUCGUGAAGUUCCAUAAAAGAGA
Small nuclear RNA from Mus caroli (Ryukyu mouse), 112 nucleotides. Lineage: Eukaryota; Metazoa; Chordata; Mammalia; Rodentia; Muridae. The record is from RefSeq and is a predicted model, not a curated record.